This 253-nucleotide ribosomal RNA is filed under the name uncultured bacterium. Its description in RNAcentral is "partial 16S ribosomal RNA". It matches the Rfam family "Bacterial small subunit ribosomal RNA", at positions 524 to 776 of the family's 1533-position model. The record is from RNAcentral.
UACGUAGGGGGCAAGCGUUAUCCGGAUUUAUUGGGCGUAAAGAGCGUGUAGGCGGUUUGGUAGGUCCGCUGUGAAAACUCGAGGCUCAACCUCGAGACGCCGGUGGAAACCAUCAGACUAGAGUCCGGAAGAGGAGAGUGGAAUUCCUGGUGUAGCGGUGAAAUGCGCAGAUAUCAGGAAGAACACCCGUGGCUAAGGCGGCUCUCUAGUACGGUACUGACGCUGAGACGCGAAAGCGUGGGGAGCGAACAGG